AACAACACAUUUCUCCUCAAAACUUCCGCUUAUCUUUUCGUCUUCAAGAGUUUGUUUUCAUCUUCAAUAAACCCUCCGUUUUCUUCUCCAAACCCUCAGUUUCGUAUUCAAGAUUAUGACCGAAGGCGUCUUCAAGAGUUCGCCGUAACGACGUGACCGGAGGCAUCUUCAAGAGUUCUCCGCUCUUAAGUGCCAAACUUAUGCUCAUCUUUUCUUGUUCUUCGAGAAACGCUUCUGCUUAAGUUUCCUGCUUCAUUGAUUUUAUUCAAAGGAAAUCCUUUCUCCUUGUUCAGUUUAUAAAGCCUGUUAAGUUAAGGAAUCAUUCUCUAGUGCCACAAAGGAAGUCUAUUAUUAGGUAAACCAUAAUUUCUUGAGACAUUUCUACUCGUCAUGAGUUGUUUGACUUCGAUAUUCUUGGAAUUGGCUAAUAUUAGUAGCAGUAAGAUUAAGUAGUUUAACUAAUACUAUGGUAGUAAGAUCAAGUGGUUUAACUAAAUCUGAUUCUAGUAAGAUCAAGUGGUUUAACUACUAGUAUUAUUAUUGUGGUUCCUGUUUGGUUGUAUUUUGGAUCCAAGAGAUUGAUUUUAAAAGGAUGUUCUAUUGUGGUUCCUUUAACAGAAUUAUCUAAUACUAACAACCAUAUUAUAAUGGGAAACAAUAAAAUCAUGGUAAUGUGCAUACCUUUAGCUGGAAUUAAUUGCCAUGAAUGAAUAAGUGAAACAUGUUCCAUUUGCUUGUGCAAGCACCUCUACCAAAAAAGAUCAAAGGUUAUAAAAGCAUGUCCGUUUUCAUCAUAUAACUCCCAAGGUUCAUACAACAGAUCUCCAUUGUAACUUUUCACAAAUAUACCAAGUUCAACUAAUUUUUCUUUGAUGUUGUGGUCGCGAACAAGUGAAACCGAAUCUAAAGUUAGCAAAAAUUAGCAAAAACAUUCAAUACAUAAAACUAAAGUUACAUAACAUACUAACUAAUUUAUAAACAACACUACUUAUAUAGAUUGUAAGAAUUUUGUUCAAAGCAUUCUUAUUAUUUUUCAAGUAGAGGAUGAUCUUAAAACCUACAAGGAAGCAAUAGCUUCAAGGGACUCUUCCUUUUGAAAGGACGCUAUCCAAGAUGAAAUGGAUUCAAUUAUGUCAAACCACACUUGGGAAUUUGUUGUUUACCAAAGGUAUCAAGGCCUAUUGGAUGCAAGUGAGUGUUUAAAAGGAAGUAUCAUAGUGAUGGUACCUUAAACACUUAUAAGACCAGAUUAUUAGCAAAAGGAUUUAUACAAAAAGAAGGCAUAGAUUACUUCGAUACAAAUGCACCAGUGGCAAGGACAACCACAAUUAGAUUGUUGUUUGCCUUGGCCUCUUUGAAUGACCUUAUAGUUCAUAAAAUGGAUGUUAAAAUAACAUUCCUAAAUGGAGAUCUCGAUGAGGAAAUCUACAUGGAACAACCAGAAGGCUACGUGCUUCCUGAAAAUGAACAAAAGGUUGGCGCCGGAGAGUAGGUGUCCGGCUGUGUUUGAGUAUGGGUUUAAGGUGUUGAAUUGGUUGGCGAAGCAGGCGAAUUUGGCUGAGUGUAGUAAAUCGAUGAGGGUUGGGAGGGUUGGUGGAGGAAGCCCUGGUGGUGGUGAUGAGUUUAACAAAUCGGAUAAUCAUAGGCAUAUUGUUGAUUCUUUUGGUGCUUCAGUGGUUGAGCCUUGGUUGGCUAGUCAUGGAGAUCCAACAAGGGAAAUUAUAGGCUCUUUGUUUAUGGAAGAAAUGAACUAGCAGAUCCGUAGUUCUUUCUUUCAUGCUUUUGUCUGAUAGAAGCAGCUAAACAAGUUCUGAAACCUCUCUUACAGUUUUAUAGAACCUGUUCUAUAGAAGCAUCUAUACAAGUUUUGAAACCUCUCUUUAUGAUCUAAUGGGAGUAACACGGAUGAUCCUAAACUCGGGUAGUUUCUCGACCCUUUUCCUAGAAUGCAAGGGAAUGUCUUGAUUACUCUAUUGUGUUUCAAGUUGAGCAAGAUAUAAUCGUGGCUGCCAAGAACGAACAAGUUUCUGUCAGAUGAAAGAUGUAGCAUGAUGUAGUUUUCUAGAUGAUCCCAAAACUAAUGACCACAAGCCGGUGAAGUUCGUCUAAAGAUACUCUUCACCUCCCUUUUCCAUACUGAUGUUUACUUUUUGGGAAGCUAAGGUAACUAACCUUCCUGAAUUUAAUUUAAUCCCUAAACUAUUUUUUUUUAAUGGAAUCUCAACUUGUAAAUAAUUUUCAAUUCUCCUAAACUUCAAAUAGUUUGUGUUUGGAUCUCUAAAUUCAGGGACUAGUUAUAAAUUAUUUAAUAGUUUAGGGACUUUAAUUUCUCUCAAAAUUGAGCUAAAGCCUAAACCUGGUUGGAAGGUUAGUUUCUCUCAAACUUGUAUUUGGUCUUUGCCUAUUUUCUUUUCCAUGCACAUCAAAUGUUCGACGAAAUGCCAUAACUGACUGACUUAUAUCCCUUCGUUUCCGGAAAAUCUUGGUCGCAUUCGUAAGACUUUCAUUGACUUCAUCAGCUUGAACCACUGAGUAGUUAACGACCACUUCCGUCUGGUGGACUCCAUCAAUGCUUUCAACUUUCAAGCCUUGGAUUCAAGCUCUCUCCGAUGAGCAGUUGGCCGCCAAAACCAAGGAUUUUCGCCUCCGGCUUGGGUGAGGGGAGAUACUUGCAGAUAUUCAAGCUGAGGCGUUCACAGUUGUCCAGGAGGCUGCCACAAGGAAACUUGGAAUGCGCCAUUUUGAUGUUCAGGAAGUUUUUUAUUUUAAUGCCGAUGAUGGAUUUUGUCAUGGAAUUGAAGAACUGUUGUCACAGUAUAGGGAAUGGGUCCCCUUAAUUACGGCUUUCCGGACCAUGAUCAUUUGUCCCGGUCAUUGAGAUGGGAAUCACAAGAGUUAUGAAAAGUGAAGGCUGGUUCAAUGUUUUAUUGAUUAUAGCAAAUGGCCUGGUGACAGGUGAGCGUGAACAAGUGAGCACACAAGAAAGAAAAACUGUAGAAGCUAUUGUGAAAGCCAAAUUAUCGGUGGAGCUGUGUUGCAUGAUGGGUCAAUUGCUGAGAUGAAAACGGGAGAGGGGAAAACCUUAGUCUCCACGCUAGCAACAUAUCUUAAUUCCUUGACCGCUGAGGGUGUCCAUGGUUUGUGUUAAUGCCAAGACUUUAAAGCUUUAAUAGAUUGUUAGACAAUUUCUUCAGACGCUGCAGACACUUGGUUUUACAAAAAUGACACUCUCUGAUCUUAAUGUCUUUGAGGUUGUAAUUGUCAAUGAUUAUUUAACUCAGUGUUAUGCUGAACGGAUGGGUGUGUUCAUCGUUUCUUAUGUCUUUCUGAAUUCUGAUGGUCUUAUUCAGGUAAAUUCUCUCAUCCAAUGGUAAAAUUUGUUGUUUAUCUAUGAUGUGUUUGAUGGUGGGAUAUACUAGUCGAGCACAUGUUUUGACAUAAUGUACAAAUGGACUGGCUCUGGUUUUCACUAAUUUUUGCAACAGUAACUGCAUAAUACGAUUUUAGAUUUUUAUAUAUUACUUAAUAAUAGCUCACAGUAGCACUUUCUGUUAAACUGAUUAUUUAAUGUUUGUAUGCACCGAGGGGGAUGAAUUCUGUAGAGCGGAGAUUCAACUAUAGAUGUGAUACAACAUGUACGAAUAAUUCGGUAAUUACAAUUUUCAGCUACUAUUGUUAUCUCAGUUGUGCAUUAAUUUCUUGACAGUGCAUGUUUUCUUGUGUUCCUUUUCUUUCCCUUCUUACAUUAGGAGCUUGGCUUUGAUUAAUAAUCUUGUUGGAAUUAGCGAGCAGCUUGUGAUGAAAUGGUAGUGUGUAUUACUUAACUAAAACCUAGAUGUUGUGUUUUUUUCUGUGGUAUGGAAUACAAUUGGAUUACUGGCUAUUCUUUUGCAUGAGUACAUGCCAAAGCCAUUUCAUUUUGCUAUUGUUCACGAGGUGGAUUUAAUACUGAUAGAUGAGGGAAGAAAUCUGCUGUUAAUCAGUGGUGAGGUCAACUCAAGAGUUGUUUUGUUUAUUUUUCUUGUGGUCCAGUCUGUCAUCAUCUUUUCUUCUUUAACGGUCUUGUCUGUCAUCAUUUUGAACCGAGUCGAAGAUGCAUAAUAGAGUUUUGUUCAUAAGGGUUGCUAAUUUGAUAAUAGGCCAAAAACAAUAAUAAUGAUAUAAAGGUAAGAAACAAUUGAAUGGACAAAACAAAGUACAGACAAAAAAAGGAUAUUUUCCAACUUAGUUAUGUAUUAGAUAUAUUAGUUGGGGCCAGGGUAUAUUUUUGUCAAAAAGGACAAAUAAAGCAGUAAAAUAGAUGGACCCAACUUAAAGACUUUGGAUAAAUAUAUAUGAAAUGGGCCCAAGAUAUAGACAUGUCAAAGAAGUAGCGUUAAAGGUUUCUUCCUCGGUGACUAAACAUAAGUUCCAAAUACGAAAUUAGGGUUUCGUUCUGAUAGAGGAGGAUUUGGUCGACGGCGCAAACAAACCUUGGACGUUGCAAUGACGUACUCUUCGCCAUUUAACAUUCCCGAUCGGUGAGUUGCAUGUAUAUUGAAUGUGUUUAUCGUUUAUAAGAUAUGUAAAUGUCGUUGAAAUUUUAACAGAUGUAUAAGAUAUGUAUUUGUGAGUUGCAUGUUCAUUCUCGUAGUAUGAAAGUUAUCUUUUUGUCCUUGAAAAUUUAGAACUGUAGAGCAACUUGGAAUGGAGAACAAUUGGGAAAAAUUGAAGAGAGAGGUUGAGAUUCGCCGAGUGUUGCAGUUGGUGAGUGUUGUAGGUGGAUGGAGGAAAGUUUGGGAAAGGUUUAACCGCAGAAAGAGGAACGCAUGCCUUUGGGAACGCGAAAGAAAAUUUAGGUUUAUGAUGGCAGCUCUUGAGACACGACGUAGUUCAAUAGAAUGGAAGGCAACAUGGCAAUCAAGCAAUUUUGGUCUGGGCGGAAACCCUUCUGACAAUACUGAAGGCAAGGCUGAAAAACAGGUUGUGGUUGGUGUUGGGGAAAGGAAAAGAAUGUCGAGAAGAAAAGCACUACGUCAUGUGAUUGUAUUAUCUUCAGAUUCAGAAAGGAAGAGAAGGAUGGCAAAGAAUGUGAUAAGCGAAAGAAGAGCAAAAAGAAUCAGGAAGGACCAAGUUCCAUUGCCAAAGAAAGGCAUGAUGAUCGUUUUGUUGUAAUGCAAAAAGAAAAAAGAUGGACUAAGGUGGUUACAAACCCACCAACAAUGGGCACGCAAGUUCUUCAAAUUCCUGUUGAGGUCAUAACUAAUUGUGUAUUGGAAGGCAAGACUACCAUUGGACUGUAUGACACGGACAAACGCAAGGCCUACAAUUGUGUCCUGAAGAAGAGAGAGAAUAAGAAUGGAAUGUUUCUUUGCAGGGGCUGGUAUGAGUAUGGGAAAAGCAGGAAGUUCAAGAAAGGUGAUGUUCUAAAUUUCACCAUUAGGUACCCACCUGUUGAAGAAAUUUUGGUGUGUGUUGUCAGUGGCAAAUAGUGAAGAAUUACCUUUGGAAACUUGUAUUUUGGGUUAGAAUAGUGUGACUUGAGUUGAUUAAUUAAGUAAGUUUGGAUGUUUUUGUUGUAAAAUAUUUGUGAUGUAGGCUGUGUAGUUAAUGUCAUUUUGAAGGUUAUAAAGAUGCAGUGAAGUUAAAGUGUAUGUGAUUGUAAUAGAAGUAUUAACCACUAAACGUACUACCCUUCCACAUAAAUACUUCUGUUACAAUCACAUACACUUUAACUCCACUGCAUCUUUAUAUCCUUCAAAAUGACAUUAACUACACAACCUACAUCACAAAUAUUUUACAACAAAAACAUCCAAACUUAUUUAAUUAACCAACUCAAGUCACACUAUUCUAACCAAAAAUACACGUUUCUAAAGGUAAUUCUUCACUAUUUGCCACAGACAACACACACCAAAAUUUCUUUAACAGGUGGGUACCUAAUGGUGAAAUUUAGAACAUCACCUUUCUUGAACUUCCUGCUUUUCCCAUACUCAUACCAGCCCCUGCAAAGAAAUAUUUCAUUCUUAUUCUCUCCUUCAGGACACAAUUGUAGGCCUUGCGUUUGUCCGUGUCAUACAGUCCAAUGGUAGUCUUGCCUUCCAAUACACAAUUAGUUAUGACCUCAACAGGAAUUUGCUACAAUUCAUUAGAAAUUAAUCACAUUAACAUGACACUUUAAUUACAGUCACUUUAGUUACAAUCAUACAACAGUUAUGGUUUACUUAAGGACUUGCAAGAACUUGCGUGCCCAUUGUUGGUGGGUUUGUAACCACCUUAGUCCAUCUUUUUUCUUUUUGCAUUACAACAAAACGAUCAUCAUGUCUGUAUUUCAAAUCAACAUUUAAAACUAUUAUAUUCUUAACUAAAAUCUAUUACUAAAACGGAAUAUACAUCUACAAAUAUGACACUUCUAUUUAGGUUGUCCGAAUAAUUUGGAUUUAGCUUCUAAAUAUAUAACAAUAAAUUAUUAUAUUUACCCUUCCUUAUCGGAUGAUAUUGAAAUGUGGUCAUCUUCCUCUUCGACCAUAACUCCUUUGCCCUUUCGGUCCGAACUACUUUCUUUGGCAAUGUAACUUGGUCCUUCUUGAUUCUUUUUGCUCUUCUUUUGCUUAUCACAUUCUUUGCCAUCCUUCUCUUCCCUGCAUCCAGAAGAACAACGAUAAACUAUUCUUUCUAAACAUUUUAACUAUUAUCACAUCACUUUUAUCAUUAUUUAUUACGUACUUAUUAUCAUCUUUAUCUUACAUGCAUCCAAACAUUACUUGCUAUCACAUUACUAAUAACAGACAAACAAUAAAUAUCUAACUAACAAAUAUUAUGUCUAUGUUUUACCUUUAUUUGGCAAUGGAACUUGGUCCUUCCUGAUUCUUUUUGCUCUUCUUUCGCUUAUCACAUUCUUUGCCAUCCUUCUCUUCCCUGCAUCCAGAAGAACAACAAUAAACAUUUUAACUAUUAUCACAACACUUUUAUCAUUAUUUAUUACGUACUUAUUAUCAUCUUUAUCUUACAUGCAUCCAAACAUUACCUGCUAUCACAUUUCUAAUAACAGACAAACAAUAAAUAUCUAAUUAACAAAUAUUAUGUCUAUGUUUUACCUUUCUUUGGCAAUGGAACUUGGUCCUUCCUGAUUCUUUUUGCUCUUCUUUCGCUUAUCACAUUCUUUGUCAUCCUUCUCUUCCAUGCAUCCAGAAGAACAACGAUAAACUAUUCUUUCUAAACAUUUUAACUAUUAUCACAACACUUUUAUCAUUAUUUAUUACGUACUUAUUAUCAUCUUUAUCUUACAUGCAUCCAAACAUUACCUGCUAUCACAUUUCUAAUAACAGACAAACAAUAAAUAUCUAACUAACAAAUAUUAUGUCUAUGUUUUACCUUUCUGAAUCUGAAGAUAAUACAAUCACAUGACGUUGUGCUUCUCUUCUCGACAUUCUUUUCCUUUCCCCAACACCAACCAUAACCUGUUCUUCAGCCUUGCCUUCAGUAUUGCCAGAAGGGUUUCCGCCCAGACCGGAAUUGCUUGAUUGCUAUGCUGCCUUCCAUUCUAUUGAACUACGUCGUGUCUCAAGAGCUGCCAUCAUAAACCUAAAUUUUCUUUCACGUUCCCAAAGGCAUGCGUUCCUCUUUCUGCGGUUAAACCUUUCCCAAACUUUCCUCCAUCCACCUACAACAGUCACCAACUGCAACACUCGGCGAAUCUCAACCUCUCUCUUCAGUUUUUCCCAAUUGUUCUCCAUUCCAAGUUGCUCUACAGUUCUAAAUUUUCAAGGACAAAAAGAUAACUUUCAUACUACGAGAAUGAACAUGCAACUCACAAAUACAUAUCUUAUACAUCUGUUAAAAUUUCAACGACAUUUACAUAUCUUAUAAACGAUAAACACAUUCAAUAUACAUGCAACUCACCGAUCGGGAAUGUUAAAUGGAGAAGAUUACGUCAUUGCAACGUCCAAGGUUUGUUUGCGCCGUCGACCAAAUACUCCUCUAUCAGAACGAAUCCCUAAUUUCGUUUUUAGAACUUAUGUUUAGUCACCGAGGAAGAAACCUUUAAAGCUACUUCUUUGACAUGUCUAUAUCU
This is an RNA transcript of Vicia villosa (hairy vetch), 8050 nucleotides long. RefSeq lists it as uncharacterized. The transcript has 13 exons. Lineage: Eukaryota; Viridiplantae; Streptophyta; Magnoliopsida; Fabales; Fabaceae. The record is from RefSeq and is a predicted model, not a curated record.